UAUUGGACAAUGGGCGAAAGCCUGAUCCAGCCAUGCCGCGUGUGUGAAGAAGGUCUUCGGAUUGUAAAGCACUUUAAGUUGGGAGGAAGGGCAGUAAAUUAAUACUUUGCUGUUUUGACGUUACCGACAGAAUAAGCACCGGCUAACUCUGUGCCAGCAGCCGCGGUAAUACAGAGGGUGCAAGCGUUAAUCGGAAUUACUGGGCGUAAAGCGCGCGUAGGUGGUUUGUUAAGUUGGAUGUGAAAUCCCCGGGCUCAACCUGGGAACUGCAUUCAAAACUGACUGACUAGAGUAUGGUAGAGGGUGGUGGAAUUUCCUGUGUAGCGGUGAAAUGCGUAGAUAUAGGAAGGAACACCAGUGGCGAAGGCGACCACCUGGACUAAUACUGACACUGAGGUGCGAAA
This 404-nucleotide ribosomal RNA is filed under the name uncultured bacterium. Its description in RNAcentral is "bacterial SSU rRNA". It matches the Rfam family "Bacterial small subunit ribosomal RNA", at positions 362 to 758 of the family's 1533-position model. The record is from RNAcentral.